Molecule: ribosomal RNA, 251 nt
Filed under: uncultured bacterium
Lineage: Bacteria
Description: partial 16S ribosomal RNA
Rfam family: Bacterial small subunit ribosomal RNA
Source: RNAcentral
UACGAAGGGGGCUAGCGUUGCUCGGAAUUAUUGGGCGUAAAGCGUGCGUAGGCGGUUCGUUAAGUCUGUUGUGAAAGCCCCGGGCUCAACCUGGGAAUGGCAAUGGAUACUGGCGAGCUAGAGUGUGUCAGAGGAUGGUGGAAUUCCCGGUGUAGCGGUGAAAUGCGUAGAGAUCGGGAGGAACACCUGUGGCGAAGGCGGCCCCCUGGUUGGAUACUGACGCUGAUACGCGAAAGCGUGGGAGCAACAGG